AAGUCGGGCCUGCUCNCUGAGUAGAAUUAAARRGCCGCAGAUUUUGACUGUGCAAAGGUAGCAUAAUCAAUAGUCUUUUAAUUGAGGACUGGAAUGAAUGGUUUGACGAAAUAAURACUGUCUUAAUAUAAAUAGUUGAAAUUUAUUUUUGAGUUAAAAARCUUAAAUAAAUADAAGGGRCGAGAAGACCCYAUAGAUUUUUAUAAAAWGUUUUUAAAAUAUGGAGUAAGAAAGAGUUGUAAGAGUAUUUUAUUUGAUUGGGGKGAUAGAAGAAUAAAAAAACUYCUYUGARAAAAAAAACGAUNAUAAAUGGGUUUUUGAUCCUUUAUUAUGGAUUAGAAGAUUAAAAUACCUUAGGGAUAACAGCGUAAUUUUGUUUGAGAGUUCUAAUCGAUAAUGAAGAUUGCGACCUCGAUGUUGGAUUAAGAUUAUUUUUUGGUGUAGUAAUU
RNAcentral lists this ribosomal RNA (449 nucleotides) under Anaxipha angusticollis. Its description in RNAcentral is "partial 16S ribosomal RNA". Lineage: Eukaryota; Metazoa; Arthropoda; Insecta; Orthoptera; Trigonidiidae. The record is from RNAcentral.